UUCGCCCUUAGAGUUUGAUCCUGGCUCAGGACGAACGCUGGCGGCGCGCCUAACACAUGCAAGUCGAACGGAGCUUAGAGAGCUUGCUUUUUAAGCUUAGUGGCGAACGGGUGAGUAACGCGUGAGUAACCUGCCCUAGAGUGGGGGACAACAGUUGGAAACGACUGCUAAUACCGCAUAAGCCCACGGUACCGCAUGGUACUGAGGGAAAAGGAUUUAUUCGCUUUAGGAUGGACUCGCGUCCGAUUAGCUAGUUGGUGAGGUAACGGCCCACCAAGGCGACGAUUGGUAGCCGGACUGAGAGGUUGAACGGCCACAUUGGGACUGAGACACGGCCCAGACUCCUACGGGAGGCAGCAGUGGGGGAUAUUGCACAAUGGGGGAAACCCUGAUGCAGCGACGCCGCGUGGAGGAAGAAGGUUUUCGGAUUGUAAACUCCUGUCGUUAGGGACGAUAAUGACGGUACCUAACAAGAAAGCACCGGCUAACUACGUGCCAGCAGCCGCGGUAAAACGUAGGGUGCAAGCGUUGUCCGGAAUUACUGGGUGUAAAGGGAGCGCAGGCGGGAAGACAAGUUGGAAGUGAAAACCAUGGGCUCAACCCAUGAAUUGCUUUCAAAACUGUUUUUCUUGAGUAGUGCAGAGGUAGAUGGAAUUCCCCGGUGUAGCGGUGGAAUGCGUAGAUAUCGGGGAGGAACACCAGUGGCGAAGGCGGUCUACUGGGCACCAACUGACGCUGAGGCUCGAAAGCAUGGGUAGCAAACAGGAUUAGAUACCCUGGUAGUCCAUGCCGUAAACGAUGAUUACUAGGUGUUGGGGGAUUGACCCCCUCAGUGCCGCAGUUAACACAAUAAGUAAUCCACCUGGGGAGUACGACCGCAAGGUUGAAACUCAAAGGAAUUGACGGGGGCCCGCACAAGCAGUGGAGUAUGUGGUUUAAUUCGACGCAACGCGAAGAACCUUACCAAGUCUUGACAUCCUGCGACGCACAUAGAAAUAUGUGUUUCCUUCGGGACGCAGAGACAGGUGGUGCAUGGUUGUCGUCAGCUCGUGUCGUGAGAUGUUGGGUUAAGUCCCGCAACGAGCGCAACCCUUAUGGUCAGUUACUACGCAAGAGGACUCUGGCCAGACUGCCGUUGACAAAACGGAGGAAGGUGGGGAUGACGUCAAAUCAUCAUGCCCUUUAUGACUUGGGCUACACACGUACUACAAUGGCGUUAAACAAAGAGAAGCAAGACCGCGAGGUGGAGCAAAACUCAGAAACAACGUCCCAGUUCGGACUGCAGGCUGCAACUCGCCUGCACGAAGUCGGAAUUGCUAGUAAUCGCAGAUCAGCAUGCUGCGGUGAAUACGUUCUCGGGCCUUGCACACACCGCCCGUCA
Molecule: ribosomal RNA, 1381 nt
Filed under: uncultured bacterium
Lineage: Bacteria
Description: 16S ribosomal RNA
Rfam family: Bacterial small subunit ribosomal RNA
Source: RNAcentral